UCCCUGGUGGCUCAGAUGGUAAAGCAUCUGUCUACAAUGCAGGAGACCUGGGUUCAAGCCCUUGUUGGGAAG
Molecule: transfer RNA, 72 nt
Organism: Ovis aries (sheep)
Lineage: Eukaryota; Metazoa; Chordata; Mammalia; Artiodactyla; Bovidae
Rfam family: tRNA
About the family: Transfer RNA (tRNA) molecules are approximately 80 nucleotides in length. Their secondary structure includes four short double-helical elements and three loops (D, anti-codon, and T loops). Further hydrogen bonds mediate the characteristic L-shaped molecular structure. tRNAs have two regions of fundamental functional importance: the anti-codon, which is responsible for specific mRNA codon recognition, and the 3' end, to which the tRNAs corresponding amino acid is attached (by aminoacyl-tRNA synthetases). tRNAs cope with the degeneracy of the genetic code in two manners: having more than one tRNA (with a specific anti-codon) for a particular amino acid; and 'wobble' base-pairing, i.e. permitting non-standard base-pairing at the 3rd anti-codon position.
Source: Rfam